ACACACCGCCCGUCAAACCAUGAGAGUCACCAACACCCGAAGUCCGCCUUGGCGGCCUAAGGUGGGGAGAUGAUUGGGUUAAGUCGUAACAAGGUAUC
This 98-nucleotide ribosomal RNA is filed under the name uncultured bacterium. Its description in RNAcentral is "partial 16S ribosomal RNA". It matches the Rfam family "Bacterial small subunit ribosomal RNA", at positions 1385 to 1500 of the family's 1533-position model. The record is from RNAcentral.